GCCGGGCACGGUGGUGCGUGCCUGUAAUCCCAGCUACUCGGGAGACUGAGGUGGGAGGAUCGUUUGAGCCCAGGAGUUCUGGGCUGUAGUGCACUAUGCAGAUCAGGUGUCCGCACUAAGUUUGGCAUCAAUAUGGUGACCUCCUAGGAGUGGGGAACCACCAGGUUGCCUAAGGAGGAGUGAACCGGCCCAGGUCGGAAACAGAGCAGGUCAAAACUCGUGUGCUGAUCAGUACUAGGACUGCGCCUGUGAAAAGCCACUACACUCAAGCCUGGGAAACAUGGUGAGACCCCGCAUCU
RNAcentral lists this signal recognition particle RNA (299 nucleotides) under Saimiri boliviensis boliviensis (Bolivian squirrel monkey). RNAcentral describes it as "Metazoan signal recognition particle RNA (ENSSBOG00000002117.1)". It matches the Rfam family "Metazoan signal recognition particle RNA". From Rfam's summary of the family: The signal recognition particle (SRP) is a universally conserved ribonucleoprotein. It is involved in the co-translational targeting of proteins to membranes. The eukaryotic SRP consists of a 300-nucleotide 7S RNA and six proteins: SRPs 72, 68, 54, 19, 14, and 9. Lineage: Eukaryota; Metazoa; Chordata; Mammalia; Primates; Cebidae. The record is from RNAcentral.